Molecule: unclassified non-coding RNA, 165 nt
Filed under: Microvirga guangxiensis
Lineage: Bacteria; Pseudomonadati; Pseudomonadota; Alphaproteobacteria; Hyphomicrobiales; Methylobacteriaceae
Description: caulobacter sRNA CC2171
Source: RNAcentral
CAACAACGAAAGGAGGUGAUCCAGUGUCUCAUUGUCAUACCCUACGGUCCCCGGUUGCCGUGACCUGGAUCUUGGCCUCUGCCGAGAUUGGUGCGUAACGCACGCGCAUCGUGCGGAAAAGUGGAAUCCGGUUUUCCGCGCCUAACGAUGCGCCCUUGAAAAAGG